Molecule: regulatory RNA element, 106 nt
Organism: Planomicrobium sp.
Lineage: Bacteria; Bacillati; Bacillota; Bacilli; Caryophanales; Caryophanaceae
Rfam family: SAM riboswitch aptamer (S box leader)
About the family: The SAM riboswitch is found upstream of a number of genes which code for proteins involved in methionine or cysteine biosynthesis in Gram-positive bacteria. The SAM riboswitch acts at the level of transcription termination control. The predicted structure consists of a complex stem-loop region followed by a single stem loop terminator region.
Source: Rfam
UUCUUAUCAAGAGAGACGGAGGGAUUUGGCCCUUUGAUGUCUCAGCAACCAGCCUGAAGAAGGCCACGGUGCUAAUUCCAAAAGGCUUCGGCCUUAAAGAUGAGAA